GCAAGUCGACGACACUUCGGUGUGAGUGGCAGACGGGUGAGUAACACAUUGGCAACCUACCCCUAACACAGGAAUAACUCCGAGAAAUCGGAGCUAAUACCUGAUAGUCUUUAAUAUCAUAUGAUAUUAAAGUAAAGUUCCGACGGUUAGGGAGGGACCUAUGGUUUAUCAGCUUGUUGGUAGGGUAAAAGCCUACCAAGGCUAUGACGAAUAGCGGGCGUGAGAGCGCGACCCGCCUCACGGGGACUGAAACACUGCCCCGACUCCUACGGGAGGCUGCAGUCAUGAAUCUUCCACAAUGGUCUAACGACUGAUGGAGCAACGCCGCGUGAAUGAUGAAGCCCUUCGGGGUGUAAAGUUCUUUUCUUAGGGAAUAAUUUUGAAUGUACCUAAGGAAUAAGGGGCGGCUAACUUCGUGCCAGAAGCCUCGGUAAUACGAAGGCCCCGAGCGUUAUCCGGAUUUAUUGGGCGUAAAGCGUCCGCAGGUUGUUGUUUAAGUUCUGCCUCAAAUCUCAGUGCUCAACAUUGAGGCUGGGUGGAAAACUGAACAACUAGAGGAUGGGAGAGGCGAGUGGAAUGGCCGGUGUAGGGGUUAAAUCCGUUAAUAUCGGCUGGAACACCAAAUGCGAAGGCAGCUCGCUAGAACAUUCCUGACACUCAUGGACGAAGCGUGGGGAGCGAACGAGAUUAGAUACCUCGGUAGUCCACGCCGUAAACGAUGGAUACUAGACAUUGGCAGUAUCGACCCUGUCAGUGUCGUUUCUAAAAAAGCUAACGCGUUAAGUAUCCCGCCUGGGGAGUACGGCCGCAAGGCUAAAACUCAAAGGAAUAGACGGGGAUCCGCACAAGCGGUGGAUCACGUGGUUUAAUUCGAUUCUACGCGAAAACCUCACCAAGACUUGACAUCUAACCUAUGUUAAUUUGGAAACAUUUUAUCUUAGUGGUUAUGACAGGUGCUGCAUGGUUGUCGUCAGCAUGUGGUGUGAACUGCACCCUUAAUUGGGGUAACAUGCGCAACCCUCGUGCUGUGUUAAAUGUACACAGCAGACCGCCGGGGUUAACCCGGGGGAAGGCGGGGACGACGUCAAAUCAGCAUGGCUCUUACGUCUUGGGCGACACACAUGAUACAAUGGCCGGUACAAUGGGCUGCCAACCCGCGAGGGGGAGCUAAUCCCAAAAAACCGGUCCCAGUUCGGAUUGGAGUCUGCAACUCGACUCCAUGAAGUCGGAAUCGCUAGUAAAUGCGUAUCAGACACGACGCAUUGAAUACGUUCUCGGAUCUUGUACUCACUGCCCGUCACAUCAAGGGAGUCGGCAAUACCC
RNAcentral lists this ribosomal RNA (1323 nucleotides) under uncultured bacterium. RNAcentral describes it as "bacterial SSU rRNA". It matches the Rfam family "Bacterial small subunit ribosomal RNA", at positions 57 to 1422 of the family's 1533-position model. The record is from RNAcentral.